CUUGCUUUCUUUGCUGGCGACCGGCGCACGGGUGAGUAACACGUAUCCAACCUGCCCUUUACUCGGGGAUAGCCUUUCGAAAGAAAGAUUAAUACCCGAUGGCAUAAUGAUUCCGCAUGGUUUCAUUAUUAAAGGAUUCCGGUAAAGGAUGGGGAUGCGUUCCAUUAGGUUGUUGGUGAGGUAACGGCCCACCAAGCCUUCGAUGGAUAGGGGUUCUGAGAGGAAGGUCCCCCACAUUGGAACUGAGACACGGUCCAAACUCCUACGGGAGGCAGCAUG
Molecule: ribosomal RNA, 279 nt
Filed under: uncultured bacterium
Lineage: Bacteria
Description: partial 16S ribosomal RNA
Rfam family: Bacterial small subunit ribosomal RNA
Source: RNAcentral